RNAcentral lists this ribosomal RNA (529 nucleotides) under Makdiops montigena. RNAcentral describes it as "partial 16S ribosomal RNA". The stretch from base 99 to 396 matches the Rfam family "Bacterial large subunit ribosomal RNA", at positions 2074 to 2646 of the family's 2925-position model. The record is from RNAcentral. Lineage: Eukaryota; Metazoa; Arthropoda; Arachnida; Araneae; Selenopidae.
UUUAAAUGAAGACCAGAACAAAAGAUUAAACGUUUUAGUUAAUAUCUAUAUUUAAUAACUUCAAAAUUAUCCUAAAAGUAAAAAGACUUUUAUAUAAAAGUUAGACGACAAGACCCUAUUGAACUUAACUUAAGUUAAACUGGGGCAGUUAAUUAAUUAUUAUUUUAAUUUAAAUUUCAAAAUAAAUGAUCCAAUAAUAUUGAAUCGAUCAAGUUACCAUAGGGAUAACAGCGUAAUAAAUUUUAAAAGAUCUUAUAAAAAAAAAAGAUUACGACCUCGAUGUUGAAUUAAUAACCUAACUUAUCGCAAAAGAUAGUUAAGGAAGUCUGUUCGACUUUUAAAAAAUUACAUGAUUUGAGUUCAGACCGGUAUAAGCCAGGUCGGUUUCCAUCUUCUAUUUAAUUUUUACAGUACGAAAGGACCUAAAAAACUAAUUUAAUUAUCAUUUUGGCAGAAAAAUGCGUUAGAAUUAGAAUCUAAACAACUAAACAUCACAUUCAUUCUUUCAUUCCUCCUAAUUACUAUUAGA